RNAcentral lists this long non-coding RNA (392 nucleotides) under Solanum tuberosum (potato). RNAcentral describes it as "long non-coding RNA (STUB_LNC007570)". Lineage: Eukaryota; Viridiplantae; Streptophyta; Magnoliopsida; Solanales; Solanaceae. The record is from RNAcentral.
CCGAAAUAAGAUACCAUUUCAAGUAAGCACAUGGCUCAUGAACUUGAAGAAAUAAGAAACAAUAUCAAUAAACACUGACAUAAUGUGAGCUAUCGCCUGAAAUAUCCACUUUUUCUAUGAUAAGAACCAUGUUGGUGAAAGAGUUUCAAACAUUAUGAUUUUACUUUGUUUACGGGGGGAUUACUCUGCCUGGGUGAGCUCGGGUAAAAGAGGAGGGAUACAAUAGGCUGGAAGCCAAUGUAAAACUAGCCAAGUAAUAUGAAUCCUCAACAAUACUUUGUCUAGGGGACAGAGGGGAGGUCACAUGUUUAGUCGUUAAACUAUUUUUACUUAGCCAUCAAAUAUGGUUGCCAGUGCAACCUAGCUAAGUAACGGAAGCAUAAUUGACAAUG